This 140-nucleotide unclassified non-coding RNA is filed under the name uncultured fungus. Its description in RNAcentral is "sequence contains ITS1". The record is from RNAcentral. Lineage: Eukaryota; Fungi.
UUGUUUUGUUAUGAUAUAUGACGUUCAUUACACCAUGUUUGUAAAAUAGCCCCGAAGGGCACGGUUCACAGAGGUUUGGAAUAGUUAUAAGCCCGUGAGGGCGUUCACUAAUGAUCCUUCCGCAGGUUCACCAACGGAGA